This is a non-coding RNA of Acanthosepion pharaonis, 112 nucleotides long. NCBI's taxonomy places the organism in Eukaryota, Metazoa, Mollusca, Cephalopoda, Sepiida, Sepiidae. The record is from the annotation of a GenBank genome assembly.
ACAGCCAUAUCAUGUGGAAACAACAGUUCUUGUACAAUCACUGAAGUUAAGCAAUGUCAAGCCUAGUCAGUACUUAGAUGUGUGAUCACUUGGGAAUACCAGCUGCUGUAGG